UCAAUCAAUCAAUCUGCGCUAUACGCUA
RNAcentral lists this small RNA (28 nucleotides) under Bombyx mori (domestic silkworm). Its description in RNAcentral is "ovarian small RNA-24825". The record is from RNAcentral. Lineage: Eukaryota; Metazoa; Arthropoda; Insecta; Lepidoptera; Bombycidae.